GGGAUCAUUUCACUCGCGGAUC
RNAcentral lists this microRNA (22 nucleotides) under Pristionchus pacificus. RNAcentral's name for it is "ppc-miR-8236-5p". The record is from miRBase by way of RNAcentral. Lineage: Eukaryota; Metazoa; Nematoda; Chromadorea; Rhabditida; Neodiplogasteridae.